UUCUUCGUAUUGUAUUCGUCUCCUUCUGUGUCCUCUUUUGAUAACAAAAUACACCUUUAGCUCAAAUCAGUGACGUUAAAAAUUGAGUUUCGAACAUCCAAAUUAAGUUCAGAGCAGGAACUUACAAGUCUAAAGUUUCAGUAUCAAUACGCAGACUGAUAUUGAUCCACUGGUACGCUGUAAAACAGAAGGUGAAACAUGGAGUUGUAUUUGGAAUAAACUUUGGAAACUUUGUUUGGUGUUUAUAGAGAUGUCACCGAGAACAUGUGUAACAUCUUCCGCGCAGGAUUUGUGCCGUGGAUCAUACUCUCCGUGACUCUCGCCUCAGGCUCCGUUGACAAGAUAAACAUCACAGCUGAGUCUGGACAGAACAUCACUCUGCCAUGUCGAGCUCACAACAAUCAGAAGCCCAUCAUAGUUGUAGAGUGGAUCAGAUCUGAUUUGGGGGCAGGUUACGCCUUGUUGUUCCAGGAUGGGCACUUUGUUCCAGAUGACCAGCAUCCAUCUUUUAAGAAUCGGGUGGAUCUUCAGGACAGGCAGAUGAAGGAUGGAGACGUGUCUUUGAUUCUGAACAACUUGACGCCUGCUGAUAGUGGAACAUAUGAAUGUCAUGUCUUCACGCAAGGAGCAAACCAGAGGGAGAGAGCAACAGAGCACACUAGUACCAUCGAGCUAAAAAUUAUUCCUCUUAUUCAGAUAAACACGACAGCUGGGCAGACUGUCAUUCUGCCAUGUCAAGUUCCAAACCUCAACAGCGAUCCCAGUGUGGUUGUAGAGUGGAGCAGAACCGAUCUGGGGACAGAACAUGUCUUUUUUUACCAGGACCAGAAGUUCAUUCCAGACAAACAGCAUCCAUCUUUUAAGAACAGAGUGGAUCUGCAGGACAGACAGAUGGAGGAUGGAGACGUGUCUUUGAUUCUGAACAAUGUGACAAUUAAUGACACUGGAACAUACGAGUGUUGUGUCUUCAUGGGAAAAACAAAACACAGAAGGAGAGCUAAACUGGAUAGUGACCUCAUCAGUGUUGUCAACCUGAGAGUUGAUCCUCCAGGUCCACCAGGAGGAGACACAGAGGAUGGAGGGAAGGAGGAUGGAGUCAAUAGAUAUAAAGUCCUACCAUGCUACUGAAAUAGGGGAGGCAUCAUUAGAUGAUGACUACCAUUUGCGUUGGCGGACUGUCCCUGGCACUGCCCUCUGAAACCACUGCACCACCCUUCCCCUGCAGCUGAGCCACCGACUACACUGUGACCAGAUCUGGGGCACCCUUUUGGAUGUGAUCGAUUAAGGAGCUGGUGGUAAUAACCAGUCAGCCUCAAAAGAUGUUUCACCUGCUUUUUGGUCUUGAAAAGUUUUUUGAGGUGCUUUUUUGAUAUUUAAUAGAUCGGAUAACAUUUUUUAUUUCCCUCCGAUAUCCGAUCCAGUAAUUUACGUCAGUAUCGGACCGAUACCGAUACGUAAUAUCGGAUCGGUCCAUCUCUACCCCAGAUACUGUAAGGCCUUCUGUCCAACAGCACACUUCUUCGUGUUGGCCGUGAGCCCCACCUGUUUCAGGAACUCCAGGACUGCAGCCACCAACUUUAAAUGCUCCCCCCAGGUGUCAUGAUGGAUGGUGACGCCAUCCAGAUAGAUAGCAGCAUAAGCAGAGUGUGCGAGAUUCCAUCCAGCAGAGCUGUCGUCCUCCUCACAGCUCAGAGACACAAAGUCUCCUUUAAAGAACUGAGAGCUGCUGGGACUCACAGUCAGACGAGCUGUGAAGAGGAUGUUUUGGGAUAUUAUGUAAGCAAAAUAAAUUUCUGCUCCACUGUAUUUUGGAUUCAAACAUUGUACUCCUUGUCAUUUAUUUAAUUACUAUGUGAUGCUACGUUAUUAUAGACAAAAUUACUCAGCAGUACAUAAGUAACCAUCUCAAGCUGCAACAUUUGAAACACACAUAAAUCAAUAAUUAUGAUCCAUUAUCAUCUAUAUGAUUUUGAAGAAUAAGUACUAUUUCUUUAAGUAUAUUAGUUUUGUAUGAUUUUUUUAAGCAGGAUUCUGACCUUUACCAAUCUAAAAACGUAAUUCACCCCUGCUAAAACAGUUAUUUCAUGCUGUUUAAACUUCUGUGCAGCCAUAUGUAUAGUUGCUGUAUAUUAACGUAUAGUUCAAUAUUUCUGUAUCAAUUUACGGUACUGUAUUUACUUAAUUAUGAUUUCCUGUUGGCCCUCAUCCUAUUUCUCAGUAUCCUCAAUGAAAACUGGUCUAACGGUGCGUUCACACCAAGCGUGAUAGACGCGACCAAAAAGCGCCCCUAGCUGGUCGCGUGCACAUUCGCACCUCGAAGCGCGUCCAAAGCGAACUGGUCUUGCAAUUUUAUGCAAUAUGCAAUUUUCACGUGCGUGAAGUGGAAAUGUGGGAGGAAGUAGUGCCAGACGCAGUAGUGGUUUUUGAUACGUCGUAUCAAAAAAACCCAAAAAACAUUUGCUUGUACUCAUGCUGCCCCAACGUCAUGCCAGUGCAUACUGGGAAUGGCAUAGGCACCUUGAUUAUAAAUAUCAAGGAUUAACAGAGGUGAUUAUGAAUAAAUAUCAAGAAAAUUGACGAGAAUAUUCCAGAGUAGAAAAGAGCGUGUGUGUAAAAAGGGUGUAACUAUUACAGUGUUUACAGUGUAUUAGAUGGAGUAGUUGUACAGGGAGAUGGCCACAGGCAGGAAUGAUUCAGGGGAGAAGGAGGAGAAAAAUAAGAACAUUGUUUCUGCCCUGGAGAGCCUGCUGCCUCAUCAGAACACUACUGAUGGCUAGAAUGAAGGGCUUUGGCUGGACCUGCCCCUUUGAACUAGGUCAGAGCAUCACGUCACCAGGCUCCUGAUUGGUUGUCGCGGCGCGACUUGACGCUGUAGUUCAGAUUUUUCCAACUCGACCGGUAGACGCGAUAAGCGCGAAUGCACAAAAUGCACCACACAAACUGCAGCGUGUAUUUUACUUCGCGCUUCAAACGUGUCAGUCACGCUACUUGGUUGCGCGAAUCAGGCAGAAAAGCGUUUUCGCAACGCAAAUCUGCUUCUGAGGUUUUGCGCGAUCCCCAGUCGCGCUUCAUCACACUCCUCCAUUGACUUUACAUGUAAACCUGAAGCUCUGGUCACGUCUAUCGCAUUCGGUGCGAACACACCGUAAUACACCUCUGAUUCCACACCAAACUUGAUGUUUGUGAUGAAGAAACAAUAGACUUUUAUAGAUAAUCAUUACAUGUCUUCUUCAUCCCACUCUCAGUGAUAUCAGAUCAACACUUUGACCAGUUCACAGUCUGUUAAAGUUGAACCCACCUCCUCUUACUCUGUGCCAAUAUUGUGGUUUUCAGUGUAAGCAAAGGUUUCUCUGUCAGUCUGCAACAAAUACGAGAGAAAAACCUUUAAAAUAGUUAAACUGUCUGAUAACUGAGUGUAAAGAUGAGCAGAAACAAAUGGUUACCUCUGUGAUGCUCUCAGACUAAACAACCAUUGUGGGUGAGUGGCUGAAGUCAGUCAGGAAACCGCACAACGAAAAUGAAUAUAUGAAAACAUGUCAGUACCUGUGAGAUGCCUUCAUUGACACUUCUCCAUGUUCAAGAUUUGUGGGCAAACCUUUCUUUUUUAAUAUGAGAGAAUCUCAACAGUAAUUAUUAAAGAGUUUGAUUAAUUUUU
Molecule: RNA transcript, 3655 nt
Organism: Oreochromis niloticus (Nile tilapia)
Lineage: Eukaryota; Metazoa; Chordata; Actinopteri; Cichliformes; Cichlidae
Gene name: ICOS ligand
Exons: 6
Source: RefSeq, a predicted model, not a curated record